Molecule: ribosomal RNA, 1240 nt
Filed under: metagenome
Description: bacterial SSU rRNA
Rfam family: Bacterial small subunit ribosomal RNA
Source: RNAcentral
AGAGUUUGAUCCUGGCUCAGAUUGAACGCUGGCGGAAUGCUUACACAUGCAAGUCGAACGGCAGCACGGGUGCUUGCACCUGGUGGCGAGUGGCGAACGGGUGAGUAAUGCGUCGGAACGUACCGAGUAAUGGGGGAUAACGCAGCGAAAGUUGUGCUAAUACCGCAUACGCCCUGAGGGGGAAAGUGGGGGACCGCAAGGCCUCACGUUAUUCGAGCGGCCGACGUCUGAUUAGCUAGUUGGUGGGGUAAAGGCCUACCAGGGCGACGAUCAGUAGCGGGUCUGAGAGGAUGAUCCGCCACACUGGGACUGAGACACGGCCCAGACUCCUACGGGAGGCAGCAGUGGGGAAUUUUGGACAAUGGGGGCAACCCUGAUCCAGCCAUUCCGCGUGAGUGAAGAAGGCCUUCGGGUUGUAAAGCUCUUUCAGCAGGAACGAAACGGUACGUUCUAACAUAGUGUGCUAAUGACGGUACCUGCAGAAGAAGCACCGGCUAACUACGUGCCAGCAGCCGCGGUAAUACGUAGGGUGCGAGCGUUAAUCGGAAUUACUGGGCGUAAAGCGUGCGCAGGCGGAUUGUUAAGCAAGAUGUGAAAUCCCCGGGCUUAACCUGGGAAUGGCAUUUUGAACUGGCAGUCUAGAGUGUGUCAGAGGGGGGUGGAAUUCCACGUGUAGCAGUGAAAUGCGUAGAGAUGUGGAGGAACACCAAUGGCGAAGGCGGCCCCCUGGGAUAACACUGACGCUCAUGUACGAAAGCGUGGGUAGCAAACAGGAUUAGAUACCCUGGUAGUCCACGCCCUAAACGAUGUCAACUGGUUGUUGGGGGAGUGAAAUCCCUUAGUAACGAAGCUAACGCGUGAAGUUGACCGCCUGGGGAGUACGGUCGCAAGAUUAAAACUCAAAGGAAUUGACGGGGACCCGCACAAGCGGUGGAUGAUGUGGAUUAAUUCGAUGCAACGCGAAAAACCUUACCUACCCUUGACAUGUCCGGAAUCCUGAAGAGAUUUGGGAGUGCUCGAAAGAGAACCGGAACACAGGUGCUGCAUGGCUGUCGUCAGCUCGUGUCGUGAGAUGUUGGGUUAAGUCCCGCAACGAGCGCAACCCUUAUCAUUAGUUGCUACGCAAGGGCACUCUAAUGAGACUGCCGGUGACAAACCGGAGGAAGGUGGGGAUGACGUCAAGUCUUCAUGGCCCUUAUGGGUAGGGCUUCACACGUCAUACAAUGGUCGGUACAGAGGG